Molecule: unclassified non-coding RNA, 341 nt
Filed under: uncultured Mortierellales
Lineage: Eukaryota; Fungi; Mortierellomycota; Mortierellomycetes; Mortierellales
Description: sequence contains 5.8S rRNA gene
Rfam family: 5.8S ribosomal RNA (bases 1-53)
Source: RNAcentral
GAACGCAUAUUGCGCUCUCUGGUAUUCCGGAGAGCAUGCUUGUUUGAGUAUCAGUAAACACCUCAACUCCCCUUUCUUUUUUUGAAAUGGGAGCUGGACUUGAGUGAUCCCAACGCUUUUCUCACCGAAAAGUGGCGGGUUACUUGAAAUGCAGGGGCAGCUGGACUUUUCUCUGAGCUAAAAGCAUAUCUAUUUAGUCCUCGUCAAACAGGAUUAUUACUUUUGCUGCAGCUAACAUAAAGGAUAAUUGUCCUCUUUGCUGACUGAUGCAGGAUUUUACGACACUUUAUGUGUUGUUCAACUCGAUCUCAAAUCAAGUAAGACUACCCGCUGAACUUAAG